CUCCCCUACACAGAUCUAUAAGCCGUCCCACCUGUCUCAAUGGUUUGCUCCUCAUUAACAGCUGAAGGAGCCCUAAUCAAAGCCCAGACAUAAGUGGGAAGCAAGAGGUACUGAGGACAGGCACAGAAAGCAGGAGCACCUCCAGCUUCCCAACUGAAGGGUCUCAACAGGACUUAAGGCAGAGGCUCACACUAUCCCUGAGGGUUCUACAGUUUAAGAAGACACGUACAGAGAGAACGCUGGUUCUCGAAGCUCUACAUUCGAUACACAUAAGACGCUCAUCAGCUAAACCCUCUGACUUACAUGAGCCAGUCCCUACCUAAGACCUGUUAUUCAGGGAGCCAUAGAAAUCUACAGUGGGAGGCACCUGAGAACUAUCCCUGACUAAGUGUGGUGGCCAUAUGGUGGAAGGACAAAAGGCAAUGGACAGCAGUCCGAAACCAGAACAGGGAAAGGCACUGUCAGCUGCCACUCUUCCUCCACUGGCUAACGUGGCUAAUAUGGCAUUUGCACUAAAAAGGCACUAAACAUAUUUUAAGUUAAUGUUUAAAACAGCAAGGAGUCUUUUUUUAAGUAAUUCCAGAUGAAAAUUGCCAAUAUUUUUUAAAAUUCUAUUGAAAAGCCACAGAGAAAGGCAUUAACUUCAGGUUUCUCAGCCAAAGCCCAUGGAAAACGGCCUCAGCUGUGUCAGCCACUGACUUUGAUUCAGAGAGCACUAAGCAAACCUACUGUCCGUCAGCAAAAUGGGAAUAGCAACCUUUGCCCUUUUUGCCACCAGACAAUGACUACCUGAAAAGCUGAUGUCUGAUACAUCUGAAUUUCUCAGAAGAAGAUACUGUAAGUUUUCUCUGGGGCCUAGAUAGCCAACUUACCACAUGAACGGGAACACAUUCAUCAUCUACCACAUCAUAAUUUCAGAUUUUAAAUGGCUAGAGAAAACCAUCCACCUUCAAGCGUUUUCCUGAUAUUGAAACAGUAAAAUCUGCCAGUCAACUGGAAAAACAUCAGCAACAACAACAAAAACGUAAAUCUUUCCCCUUAAAAAAUGAUCAUGUUUUCUCACGCUUUUUUAAUUUUAGAGCCCCAUCUCCCCAUCCUCAUAGCAUUGCAGAGCACUUCCCCAGAAAAUCUGAAUGUUAUCUGUUACAAAAUUUUAUCUCCUUUGAUGAAAGGGAGGAAAACUUUAAAAUUCAUGCCAUUAAUGUUCUCCCUUUCUUGUCAUUCUUCAUGGAGACGACGCAGUGAAAGAACAGUAGUAUUUUAGGCUCAACACUAAUUCUAAGAGAAAAAUCACAGUAAUUUUCAGAAUAGGUUAACACAGGAAGUUAAGAAAGCAACGAGUUUCAAGAGCCCCUUCUGGGAAGCUAGCCUCCCUGAUGUGAAGGUCCAGCACCACACGGACAGAGUCCUUUUUGGCCAGCGAAAGACUCCCUCUCUGUGCACAUGGUACUCACAGAGAAAAAGCUGUCAUUCAGCAAACAUAAUAAAUUACUCCAGUAGUUCAAACUAAUUCUAUUUACCCAACUCCAAAUAAAUAAUUUUACCCUUUGGGUGGAGAAUGUUGCAAGACAUAUUUCCUACCAAAAAAGAAGGAAACUGGAUAGCAAAUGCCAAAAAUGGCACUAUUAAAUAUUUAGACAACUUAAUGUUUUAUUAUUCAGGGUCACUUAUGACAAUUCACACUGAAGAUUUUCAUGGCCAUCCAUAAAAGACAAAAGAUAUUAUUUUUCAUUCUGUCUCAGUUAAUAUAAAAAACCUGAAAUGAGAUAUAGUUGAAUAAUUCUCAAAAAAACUGCCACGGUCCUUAAAAUCAUAUUUAGAAAGCAAGCAGACAAUACAAGGGAUGCAGGGUAACACGGUGCUUGUUCCGACCUGUGGAAGUGGCAGUAAACGGGAAACACACAGAGGCUAAAGGAUGAAAUGAACAAAAAGUGAGUGUGCACCCCAGCAGCAGAUACACUCCCACAGCGGCAGUACUCUGAGGUUUCGCUUUGACUUCAAGACAUGCAAAAGAUGAAGUCAGCUGGGUUCACGCUCUGCUCACCUAGCCGUGCCCAGCAAAUGAGCCCUCACCCACUCCUUCAUCCAAAUAUCGACUGUCUGAGCAAGCAGGAUGUCGAACAAGCACGACUACACAAGUGACCAAAACAACACAACUCCCUCUGCCCUUGGAAAACUCCAUCCAAGGUGGCCUUCCCGUGUUCCAGGACAAAAACUUGGGCAGGUGCCAGGUCCUUUCUGUUCACUCCUAGGUAACUGAGAGUCCCUUCAAGUCAUAAAACAAUCCUAAUUUGGAGGUUAGACUUCCCAGUCCCUUUUAAUAAUCAAUACUCCACAUCUGAUUCAGGGCGAGGCUGGUUUCAGACCCACAGUCUUGGGCAGGGAGUGGCUCAGGCUUUCCUCUUUACAGCUGCUGAUCCCCUCAGGUGUUGGGACAUAAGCAAGGAGGAGGAAAAGGGAACACGAAAGUUCUGACUAAGCUGGCUCCAUCACAAGCCGGCACCCCGUUCUCUUCCUUGCACAGCUGCUUCAGUGGGUUCCUGGGAGAUCUCAUUGCUGGAAACCUCUUUCCUCCAGGUGCCUCGACCUGGGGGAAUGUAUCUCAGCGCCCUUAACCUCCACAACCCCUUGGAAUCUGGCAUCUAUUUCCAGCCUGUUUCUCCAGGGGGCCUCUGUGUGGCCCAACUUACCAGACAGAACCCGAGAAGACACGCUGCCCUCGUGCGGCUCACCACUGGUGCACAGGCAACAACCAGUUAGCCUCUCUUGGUUCAACUAACGCUGCUGGGCAGGCAGAUGGCAACAUCAAAGCCCAAGGCCACAGCCAGCCCAUCUCUGGCCACCUGA
Long non-coding RNA from Equus asinus (donkey), 2847 nucleotides. Lineage: Eukaryota; Metazoa; Chordata; Mammalia; Perissodactyla; Equidae. The record is from Ensembl.